This 114-nucleotide ribosomal RNA is filed under the name Periophthalmus magnuspinnatus. The record is from RNAcentral. Lineage: Eukaryota; Metazoa; Chordata; Actinopteri; Gobiiformes; Gobiidae.
CUAGGCCACAUCACCUUUCCCAAUGCCUGAUCUCAUCAGAUCUCCAAAGCUAAGCAGGCUUGGGCCUGUUAGUAUUGGGAUAGGAGACCACUAAGAAGGCAGGAGUAGUUCUGA